ACCGUCGGGUACCGGGCGUCUGGCCCGACUGAGGCCCAGGCUCGGGUAGCAUAAAAAGCCUUAUCGAGUUCGACCCGGCCUGGAACUAUAACGGGCCGGGCUCGAGCUUUAAACUCUACCCGUCGAGGGCCCGAGAAGCCCGACGUCCAUCAAAACCGAUUUUUAUUUUUUAUUAGGUUAGGGUUACACAAUGUUUCAACUUCAUUUUCGAUUGAACAAGCAUAGCGACGUAGUGUCGAUGACUCGAAGCUCCUCUGCGGCUCUGCCUCCUCCGCUCCUCGCUAUCGGCAUCCUGCCUUGCCCAGUCGCCAACUGGCCGUCAACAACUCGCUAAUUGCCAUCAGCGCCGCCGCAUCGCUCACCACCAUUGCUGCUUCUCCAAUCUCCAUCGUUGUCGCCGGACCGCAUGCUAUUUCUGCUCAAACCAUCGCAGAAAUGUCCAAAAUCUACAGUGACAGCUUGUUCCUGGUGGUUCGCUAGAAUGAAGAAGACACUUUUUUAGGGCAAGUUGGUUUCUAGAUUCAGCAUAUGCAACUCAACACAUCACUUGUCAGAUGCUUAUUUUACUUGUAAUUUCCUUGAGGAGGCUAUUCAGAUUUGUUAGUGAACCAUGUGGGAACACUGAUUUUCUUUUUGUUUAUAGACCUGAAAAGGGGUUGUUCAUUGUUGAUUAGCUUUACUGACAGGAAUGUAUUUCGUGCCAAAGUUCCUUGUUGAUCAGAUUUAGCUUGUAAUUUUCGACUGAGCUCA
Molecule: long non-coding RNA, 750 nt
Organism: Nymphaea colorata (pocket water lily)
Lineage: Eukaryota; Viridiplantae; Streptophyta; Magnoliopsida; Nymphaeales; Nymphaeaceae
Exons: 2
Source: RefSeq, a predicted model, not a curated record